GAUGAACGCUGGCUACAGGCUUAACACAUGCAAGUCGAGGGGAAACGACGGGGAAGCUUGCUUCCCCGGGCGUCGACCGGCGCACGGGUGAGUAACGCGUAUCCAACCUGCCUCUGACUGAGGGAUAACCCGUCGAAAGUCGGCCUAAUACCUCAUGGCAUCGUCUGCGGGCAUCCAACGACGAUUAAAGAUUUCAUCGGUCAGGGAUGGGGAUGCGUCUGAUUAGCUAGUUGGCGGGGUAACGGCCCACCAAGGCGACGAUCAGUAGGGGUUCUGAGAGGCCGGUCCCCCACAUUGGACCUGCGACACGGUCCAAACACAUACGGGAGGCAGCAGUGAGGGAUAUUGGUCGAUGAGAGAGAGCCUGAGCCGGCCAAGUAGCGUGCCGGAUGACGGCCCUAUGGGUUGUAAACUGCUUUUAUGCGGGGAUAAAGUGAGGGACGUGCCCUUCAUUGCAGGUACCGCAUGAAUACGGACCGGAUCAUUCCG
Molecule: ribosomal RNA, 489 nt
Filed under: uncultured bacterium
Lineage: Bacteria
Description: partial 16S ribosomal RNA
Rfam family: Bacterial small subunit ribosomal RNA
Source: RNAcentral